GAGUGGCCUGCCUGGCUCAGGCUCCCUGGAGCAGCCAAUGGGAGGAGGUGGCCAGUUCGUGGUACAGGAAGUCGUUCCCACUUGGAGAACUCUGAGAGGGACUCGGCCAGGAUGCAGAGACAGGUGGGGCGCUGUGCCAUCUCAUGUCUGGGCCGGGCCGGGCCAUCUGCAGGCCACCCGCGGAGUGUCUGCCUCUCAGGUGCUCUGACCCGGUGUGUCCCAGCAGCUGUGACCAUGAGGUAUGCGCCAAAAGUCAAGAAGCCAAAAGCCACACCUGCUGCAGAAGUUCGCAGCACCUCGAUUGCUGGUGUCCCUCAGGACCCCAGAAGAGAACACAGGCCCUCAAGAACCCGAGAGGACUCCCGACUUCCCCAGGGUGCUCACCCUUCGCACACAGAAGCCCCCACGAACCCUCCUGCCAUCUUUCAUUCUCCUAAGCGGGAAAAAUCCAUGAGAGGAGGAAGAAGAAAGAGAUUCUCAUGCAGUCCACUCUGCCACCUGAGGCCAGCAAUGAGACUGCUAAAGUCUCCCAGGGUGGACAAGUGGUGUCACAGCCGGCCAGUGUCAUUGUCUCCAGGAAGAGUGGCAAGAACCUGGAGGAAGAGGGAUCAGCUGUCACGGAGCUGGAAGACACAGAGGACUGAAGUGUGCAAAGAGGAAGUGGAGAACAGGGAAAUGUCCCUGAGACACACAGCUGUGACCCCUGGUGGGGCCAUAUGGAGUGGCCA
Heterocephalus glaber (naked mole-rat) is the source of this 728-nucleotide long non-coding RNA. The record is from Ensembl. Lineage: Eukaryota; Metazoa; Chordata; Mammalia; Rodentia; Bathyergidae.